UGCCCACCACUUGGGGAUAACCUUGCGAAAGUAAGACUAAUACCCAAUGACGUCUCUAGAAGACAUCUGAAAAGAGAUUUAAAGAUUUAUCGGUGAUGGAUGGGGAUGCGUCUGAUUAGCUUGUUGGCGGGUAACGCCCACCAAGGCGACGAUCAGUAGGGGUUCUGAGAGGAAGGUCCCCCACAUUGGAACUGAGACACGGUCCAAACUCCUACGGGAGGCAGCAGUGAGGAAUAUUGGUCAAUGGGCGAGAGCCUGAACCAGCCAAGUAGCGUGCAGGAUGACGGCCCUAUGGGUUGUAAACUGCUUUUAUAAGGGAAUAAAGUGGGAGUCGUGACUCUUUUUGCAUGUACCUUAUGAAUAAGGACCGGCUAAUUCCGUG
This 382-nucleotide ribosomal RNA is filed under the name uncultured bacterium. Its description in RNAcentral is "bacterial SSU rRNA". It matches the Rfam family "Bacterial small subunit ribosomal RNA", at positions 127 to 507 of the family's 1533-position model. The record is from RNAcentral.